AGGGUUUUACAAAAUGCUGAAUAAAAUCGAAACAAACGGCGAAUUAAAUGAUAGAAUAGAAAGUUCAAUGAAUAUUCCUAUGUGUUAUAAAUGCAAAAGAUGUAAUGCUAUAAUUAACAUAAACGGAAAGUUAUGCAGAUGUUGUUUUUUUUCACAUGUAGAAUAUAAAUUUAAAAGUACGCUAAGAGAAAAAUGUUUAUUUAAACAUAAGAUAAGUAGUAAUUUAUGUGAUGUGCAAGACUCAGAGGGAAUAAAAGGAGGUGGAGGAGAUAAAGAUAAUAAGAACAAUGUUAUUGAAAAGAGAGAAGAGAUUGAAAAUAAAAGUGAUUAUAUUGAAAAGUUAAAAAAGAGAGAAGAAAAGAAAAAAACGAAACAAAAAAAAAAAACAGGUAUAGCAUUUUCUGGAGAAACAUGCUCCUGUUUUCUGUUACAUUGUUUUGUAAAAUAUUUAAAAAAUAGUAACAUGAAAAAUGAUAAUUUGUUUUUAUCUAAUGAGCAUGCUAUAUUCAGUGAUAUAAUUUUUGUUGAUAUUAAUGAGGAUAAGAAUUACAUUUCAAAUUUAAUAAGUUUGGUUUGGGAUAUAUUUAGAUCGAUAGAAGAAAAAGCUGAUGGUGUAUGUUUAAAAAUUGAUGAAGACAAUAUAAAUAAAGAAAAAGUAGAGGAAAAAUUAGAGGAAAAAUUGGAUUAUAACUUUAGUGAUGGUAAUACCGCUUAUCCAUUGUCCAUUAAUAAUAAAGAUGAUAUUAUUUUUUGUAAUGGUGUGUAUAAAAAAAAAAUAAACAAAAUAAAUUUAGUUGUGUUAAAAAGCAAUUAUUUUAUAAAAGAAAGUAAUAAAAAGGAAUUUUUAGUAAUUUAUGAUUUAAUAAAAAAAAAAAAACAUGAAAAAAAUGAUUGUUUAAACUUUAUAAACGAAUUGAUUAUUUAUAAUAACAUUUUAAAAUAUAGUAUAAACGAAAAUAUUGAAUAUAUUUUAUUAGGAAAUAAUGCAAAUAAUAUCUGUAAUAAAGCAUUUUUAUAUACAAUAAUGGGUAAUGGUAUAAAUAUACCUUUAUGUACGGCUUAUAUAGAUAACAGAUAUACAUCCGUAAAAAUGAUUAAACCAUUAAAAGAGUUGUUUGUUAAGGAAAUAUAUUUAUAUUGUUUUUAUAAAAAUAUUUCAUAUUUGAAAAAUACUAUGAACAAUUAUGUAAGUAGUAGUAGGUUAUAUACAACUUUAUACAAUGUGUUAUCAGAAUUAAACUCCAAUAAUAACACAACAUCUAUUAUUAAUAGC
This 1273-nucleotide long non-coding RNA is filed under the name Piliocolobus tephrosceles (Ugandan red Colobus). RNAcentral's name for it is "lncRNA (ENSPTEG00000011594.1)". The record is from RNAcentral. Lineage: Eukaryota; Metazoa; Chordata; Mammalia; Primates; Cercopithecidae.